AACAAACGCUGGCGGCGUGCCUAACACAUGCAAGUCGUACGAGAAAGGGUCCUUCGGGAUCUGAGUAAAGUGGCGCACGGGUGAGUAACGCGUGGAUAAUCUACCCUUCAGUUGGGAAUAACUCAUCGAAAGGUGGGCUAAUACCGAAUAAUACUGUGAGGCUUUGGUCGAUCAGUCAAAGAGAGCCUCUGCUUGCAUGCCCUCGCUGAAGGAUGAGUCCGCGUACCAUUAGCUAGUUGGCAGGGUAAUGGCCUACCAAGGCGACGAUGGUUAGCUGGUCUAAGAGGAUGAUCAGCCACACUGGAACUGAGACACGGUCCAGACUCCUACGGGAGGCAGCAGUGAGGAAUCUUGCGCAAUGGGGGCAACCCUGACGCAGCAACGCCGCGUGAGUGAGGUAGGUCUUCGGAUCGUAAAGCUCUGUCAGAUGGAAAGAACCGCAUGGGGGUGAAUAGCCCUCAUGUCUGACGGUACCAUCAGAGGAAGCACCGGCUAACUCCGUGCCAGCAGCCGCGGUAAUACGGGGGGUGCGAGCGUUGUUCGGAAUUAUUGGGCGUAAAGAGCGUGUAGGCGGCCGGAUAUGUCAGAUGUGAAAGCCCUGAGCUUAACUCAGGAAGUGCAUUUGAAACUGUCCGGCUCGAGUAGGGGAGAGGGAAGUGGAAUUCCUGGUGUAGAGGUGAAAUUCGUAGAUAUCAGGAGGAACACCGGUGGCGAAGGCGACUUCCUGGCCCUAUACUGACGCUGAGA
This 747-nucleotide ribosomal RNA is filed under the name uncultured bacterium. RNAcentral's name for it is "bacterial SSU rRNA". It matches the Rfam family "Bacterial small subunit ribosomal RNA", at positions 28 to 751 of the family's 1533-position model. The record is from RNAcentral.